This 1110-nucleotide ribosomal RNA is filed under the name uncultured cyanobacterium. Its description in RNAcentral is "bacterial SSU rRNA". It matches the Rfam family "Bacterial small subunit ribosomal RNA", at positions 389 to 1515 of the family's 1533-position model. Lineage: Bacteria; Bacillati; Cyanobacteriota. The record is from RNAcentral.
GAGCAACGCCGCGUGAGGGAUGAAGGCCUCUGGGCUGUAAACCUCUUUUCUCAAGGAAGAAGACAUGACGGUACUUGAGGAAUAAGCCACGGCUAAUUCCGUGCCAGCAGCCGCGGUAAUACGGGAGUGGCAAGCGUUAUCCGGAAUUAUUGGGCGUAAAGCGUCCGCAGGCGGCCUUGUAAGUCUGUCGUUAAAGCGUGGAGCUCAACUCCAUUUCAGCGAUGGAAACUACAAGGCUUGAGUGUGGUAGGGGCAGAGGGAAUUCCCGGUGUAGCGGUGAAAUGCGUAGAUAUCGGGAAGAACACCAGUGGCGAAGGCGCUCUGCUGGGCCAUAACUGACGCUCAUGGACGAAAGCCAGGGGAGCGAAAGGGAUUAGAUACCCCUGUAGUCCUGGCCGUAAACGAUGAACACUAGGUGUCGGGGGAAUCGACCCCCUCGGUGUCGUAGCCAACGCGUUAAGUGUUCCGCCUGGGAGUACGCACGCAAGUGUGAAACUCAAAGGAAUUGACGGGGGCCCGCACAAGCGGUGGAGUAUGUGGUUUAAUUCGAUGCAACGCGAAGAACCUUACCAGGGUUUGACAUCCUGCGAAUCCCUUGGAAACGAGGGAGUGCCUUCGGGAGCGCAGAGACAGGUGGUGCAUGGCUGUCGUCAGCUCGUGUCGUGAGAUGUUGGGUUAAGUCCCGCAACGAGCGCAACCCACGUCUUUAGUUGCCAGCAUUCAGUUGGGCACUCUAGAGAGACCGCCGGUGAUAAACCGGAGGAAGGUGUGGAUGACGUCAAGUCAUCAUGCCCCUUACAUCCUGGGCUACACACGUACUACAAUGCUACGGACAAAGGGCAGCAAGCUCGCGAGAGUAAGCAAAUCCCAUAAACCGUGGCUCAGUUCAGAUCGUAGGCUGCAACUCGCCUACGUGAAGGAGGAAUCGCUAGUAAUCGCAGGUCAGCAUACUGCGGUGAAUACGUUCCCGGGCCUUGUACACACCGCCCGUCACACCAUGGAAGUUGGCCAUGCCCGAAGUCGUUACUCCAACCCUUGUGGAGGAGGACGCCGAAGGUGGGGCUGAUGACUGGGGUGAAGUCGUAACAAGGUAGCCGUACCGGAAGGUGC